GUGGGGAAUAUUGGACAAUGGGCGCAAGCCUGAUCCAGCCAUGCCGCGUGAGUGAUGAAGGCCCUAGGGUUGUAAAGCUCUUUCACCGGUGAAGAUAAUGACGGUAACCGGAGAAGAAGCCCCGGCUAACUUCGUGCCAGCAGCCGCGGUAAUACGAAGGGGGCUAGCGUUGUUCGGAAUUACUGGGCGUAAAGCGCACGUAGGCGGGUAUUUAAGUCAGGGGUGAAAUCCCAGAGCUCAACUCUGGAACUGCCUUUGAUACUGGGUACCUAGAGUAUGGAAGAGGUAAGUGGAAUUCCGAGUGUAGAGGUGAAAUUCGUAGAUAUUCGGAGGAACACCAGUGGCGAAGGCGGCUUACUGGUCCAUUACUGACGCUGAGGUGCGAAAGCGUGGGGAGCAAACAGGAUUAGAUACCCCGGUAGUCC
This 425-nucleotide ribosomal RNA is filed under the name uncultured bacterium. RNAcentral's name for it is "bacterial SSU rRNA". It matches the Rfam family "Bacterial small subunit ribosomal RNA", at positions 354 to 796 of the family's 1533-position model. The record is from RNAcentral.